RNAcentral lists this ribosomal RNA (302 nucleotides) under Belostoma sp. 9 TBG-2019. RNAcentral's name for it is "partial large subunit ribosomal RNA". The stretch from base 1 to 177 matches the Rfam family "Archaeal large subunit ribosomal RNA", at positions 1931 to 2143 of the family's 2987-position model. Lineage: Eukaryota; Metazoa; Arthropoda; Insecta; Hemiptera; Belostomatidae. The record is from RNAcentral.
AAUUUUAUUUAAGGUCUGACCUGCCCUAUGAGAAAUUAAAUGGCCGCGGUAUUUUAACCGUGCAAAGGUAGCAUAGUCACUUGUCUCUUAAUUGGAGGCUUGAAUGAAGGGUUGGACGAGAUAUAAACUUUCUUUAUUAUAAUCAGUUGAAUUUGACUUUUGAGUCAAAAGGCUUAAAUAUAUUUAUAGGACGAGAAGACCCUAUAGAAUUUUAUAUUUUUAUUUUAAUAAUUUAUUUGUUUAUAAUUAAAUUUUUUUUAUAAAAAUAUUUUGUUGGGGCGAUGGGAAGAUUUUUUUAACUC